This 628-nucleotide ribosomal RNA is filed under the name uncultured Russulaceae. Its description in RNAcentral is "eukaryotic LSU rRNA". It matches the Rfam family "Eukaryotic large subunit ribosomal RNA", at positions 53 to 655 of the family's 3401-position model. The record is from RNAcentral. Lineage: Eukaryota; Fungi; Basidiomycota; Agaricomycetes; Russulales; Russulaceae.
GAGGAAAAGAAACUAACAAGGAUUCCCCUAGUAACUGCGAGUGAAGCGGGAAAAGCUCAAAUUUAAAAUCUGGCGGUCCUUUGGCCGUCCGAGUUGUAAUUUAGAGAAGCGUCUUCCGCGCCGGACCGUGCACAAGUCUCCUGGAAUGGAGCGUCAUAGAGGGUGAGAAUCCCGUCUUUGGCACGGAUGCCUGGUGCUUCUGUGAUGCGCUCUCGAAGAGUCGAGUUGUUUGGGAAUGCAGCUCAAAAUGGGUGGUGAACUCCAUCUAAAGCUAAAUAUUGGCGAGAGACCGAUAGCGAACAAGUACCGUGAGGGAAAGAUGAAAAGCACUUUGGAAAGAGAGUGAAACAGUACGUGAAAUUGUUGAAAGGGAAACGCUUGAAGUCAGUCGCGUCGACCGAGACUCAGCCUUGCCUCGGCUUGGUGUACUUCUCGGCCCGACGGGUCAGCAUCGAUUUCGCCCCUCGGAUAAUGGCAAGGGAAAGGUGGCACCUUUACGGGUGUGUUAUAGUCUCCUGUCGCAUGCGAGGGGUGGGAUUGAGGAACUCAGCACGCACCUCGGUGUCGGGGCUUCGGCCCACGUAACGUGCUUAGGAUGCUGGCGUAAUGGCUUUAAACGACCCGUCUG